UACGGAGGGAGCUAGCGUUGUUCGGAUAUACUGGGCGUAAAGCGUGCGCAGGCGGUUUGGUAAGACAGAUGUGAAAUCCCCGGGCUCAACCUGGGAAUUGCGAUGGAGACGUGCAAGGCUAGAAUGCUGGCAGAGGGGGGUAGAAUUCCACGUGUAGCAGUGAAAUGCGUAGAGAUGUGGAGGAACGACCGAUGGCGAAGGCAGCCCCCUGGGUCAAGAUUGGACGCUCAUGCACGAAAGGCGUGGGGAGCAAACGAGGAUUACGAA
Molecule: ribosomal RNA, 267 nt
Filed under: uncultured bacterium
Lineage: Bacteria
Description: partial 16S ribosomal RNA
Rfam family: Bacterial small subunit ribosomal RNA
Source: RNAcentral